Molecule: ribosomal RNA, 405 nt
Filed under: uncultured bacterium
Lineage: Bacteria
Description: bacterial SSU rRNA
Rfam family: Bacterial small subunit ribosomal RNA
Source: RNAcentral
GAUGAACGCUGGCGGCGUGCCUAACACAUGCAAGUCGAGCGAAGCACUUGCGAAUGAUCCUUCGGGUGAUUUUGCUGGUGACUGAGCGGCGGACGGGUGAGUAACGCGUGGGUAACCUGCCUCAUACAGGGGAUAACAGUUAGAAAUGACUGCUAAUACCGCAUAAGCGCACAGUACCACAUGGUACAGUGUGAAAACUCCGGUGGUAUGAGAUGGACCCGCGUCUGAUUAGCUGGUUGGUGGGGUAAUGGCCCACCAAGGCGACGAUCAGUAGCCGACCUGAGAGGGUGAUCGGCCACAUUGGGACUGAGACACGGCCCAAAUCCUACGGAGGCAGCAGUGGGGAAUAUUGGUCAAUGGGCGCAGGCCUGAACCAGCCAAGUAGCGUGAAGGAUGACUGCCCUA